Molecule: non-coding RNA, 19 nt
Filed under: Mus musculus (house mouse)
Lineage: Eukaryota; Metazoa; Chordata; Mammalia; Rodentia; Muridae
Source: RNAcentral
CACCUAUACCAGUUUUUGA